UACAGGGGGUGCAAACGUUGCUCGGAAUCAUUGGGCGUAAAACGCACGUAGGCGGUCUGUUAUGUCGGAUGUGAAAGCCCUUGGCUCAACUGAGGAAGUGCAUCCGAAACUGGCAGGCUAGAGUACUAAAGAGGAUCGCGGAAUUCCCGGUGUAGAGGUGAAAUUCGUAGAUAUCGGGAGGAACACCGGUGGCGAAGGCGGCGAUCUGGGUAGAUACUGACGCUGAGGUGCGAAAGCGUGGGGAGCAAACAGG
RNAcentral lists this ribosomal RNA (253 nucleotides) under uncultured bacterium. RNAcentral describes it as "partial 16S ribosomal RNA". It matches the Rfam family "Bacterial small subunit ribosomal RNA", at positions 524 to 776 of the family's 1533-position model. The record is from RNAcentral.